RNAcentral lists this ribosomal RNA (492 nucleotides) under uncultured bacterium. RNAcentral describes it as "partial 16S ribosomal RNA". It matches the Rfam family "Bacterial small subunit ribosomal RNA", at positions 30 to 507 of the family's 1533-position model. The record is from RNAcentral.
AUUGAACGCUGGCGGCAUGCUUUACACAUGCAAGUCGAACGGUAACAGGCCUUCGGGUGCUGACGAGUGGCGAACGGGUGAGUAAUGCAUCGGAACGUGCCCAGAGGUGGGGGAUAACGCAGCGAAAGCUGUGCUAAUACCGCAUGUGAUCUGAGGAUGAAAGCGGGGGACCAGGCAGCAAUGUUUGGCCUCGCGCCUUUGGAGCGGCCGAUGUCAGAUUAGGUAGUUGGUGGGGUAAAGGCCUACCAAGCCGACGAUCUGUAGCUGGUCUGAGAGGACGACCAGCCACACUGGGACUGAGACACGGCCCAGACUCCUACGGGAGGCAGCAGUGGGGAAUUUUGGACAAUGGGCGCAAGCCUGAUCCAGCAAUGCCGCGUGCGGGAAGAAGGCCUUCGGGUUGUAAACCGCUUUAGUACGGAACGAAAAGGCUCUGGCUAAUACCUGGGGCUGAUGACGGUACCGUAAGAAUAAGCACCGGCUAACUACGUG